This 699-nucleotide long non-coding RNA is filed under the name Ananas comosus (pineapple). Its description in RNAcentral is "long non-coding RNA (ACOM_LNC021225)". Lineage: Eukaryota; Viridiplantae; Streptophyta; Magnoliopsida; Poales; Bromeliaceae. The record is from RNAcentral.
UUUUGGUUUUUGUUAAGAAUUAAAAAAAGAAUAACAAUAUUAGGCCCCGUUUGGUUCGAGGAUAAAUCAAAAAUAACAAAACUUAUCCCCUCUAUUCCGCCAACGGGGUAUUUUUUGGCAAGGAUAUUUAAUUUCGGUCAAAUCUUGCUAUUUCCGGUUAUCCUAGAAUAGCUUGGGAUAAAUUAUUCCACCUUUUUUGGUGGAAUAGUAAUAUUCCAAGAUUUAAUUUCAAGUUUUUAUUGAAAUUAUAAUUGAAUUACAACUAAAUUAUAUAGAAAUUAUAUUUUAUUUAUUAUAACAAAUUAUUUUUAUUAUAAAUUAUUAUUUGUACUAUAUUAAUACAAAUUAUUUAUAAUUAAAUAUUAUAAUAAAUUAUUUUUAUUAAAUUUAAGUUUAAGGAGAAUUUGAAAACAAAUAAAAUUAUUUUUAUUAAAUCAUAAUUUAUAAUAAUUUUUUUUAAAUAUCAUUAUUAUUUUCAUAAUAAAAUAUUUAUAUAAUAUUAUUAUUUUUAUUAAAUUAUAUUUUAUGUUAAAUUCAACCAUUACAUUUUUUUCACUAUCCUCUGCUAUUGAAUAAAAUUAACAAAACAUAAUUUUAGUCAUUUUUAGGUAUAACAGCAUUAAAAUCAAACACAAAUUUACUUUUAUUCUUUAGUAUCCUGAAAUAGUAAGCUAUUCCAGGGCUAAAAUUUUUUUUCGU